RNAcentral lists this ribosomal RNA (387 nucleotides) under uncultured bacterium. Its description in RNAcentral is "bacterial SSU rRNA". It matches the Rfam family "Bacterial small subunit ribosomal RNA", at positions 29 to 414 of the family's 1533-position model. The record is from RNAcentral.
AUUGAACGCUGGCGGCAUGCUUUACACAUGCAAGUCGAACGGCAGCACGGGUGCUUGCACCUGGUGGCGAGUGGCGAACGGGUGAGUAAUGCAUCGGAACGUGCCCAUGAGUGGGGGAUAGCCCGGCGAAAGCCGGAUUAAUACCGCAUACGCCCUUAGGGGGGAAAGCGGGGGAUCUUCGGACCUCGCGCUAUUGGAGCGGCCGAUGUCGGAUUAGCUAGUAGGUGAGGUAAAGGCUCACCUAGGCGACGAUCCGUAGCUGGUCUGAGAGGAUGAUCAGCCACACUGGGACUGAGACACGGCCCAGACUCCUACGGGAGGCAGCAGUGGGGAAUUUUGGACAAUGGGCGCAAGCCUGAUCCAGCCAUGCCGCGUGAGUGAAGAAGG